Onthophagus taurus is the source of this 830-nucleotide non-coding RNA. NCBI's taxonomy places the organism in Eukaryota, Metazoa, Arthropoda, Insecta, Coleoptera, Scarabaeidae. The record is from RefSeq and is a predicted model, not a curated record.
UUAAACCCCGAGAAGUGAUUUUAUAACUCAAAAAUAAUGAGUGAAGUUUUGACACAAAACAACAUAACCUCAUUUUUUAAUAUUGUCGAUUUAAAUUAUUUGUGGGGUGAUUUAAUUAAGACAAAAAGGAAAAGUCACUUUCUAACUGGCUCCAUCUGUUGGCGAUUAAUCAUAUCAAAUUAUACUUUGACGUUUGAAAUUGUUUACAUCUUUUUAAGAUAAUUUUACCAUAAAAAGAAGUCAAAUUGAACCGAACGAAGAUUCAAAAUACGUUUUUAGACACCAAAACUACUGAUAUCAAGUGAUUUAAUCCCUGAGAAGUAAUUUUAUAACUCAAAAAUAAUGAGUGAAGUUUUGACACAAAACAACAUAACCUCAAUUUUUAAUAUUGUCGAUUUAAAUUAUUUGUGGGGUGAUUUAAUUAAGACAAAAAGGAAAAGUCACUUACUAACUGGCUCCAUCUAUUGGCGGUUAAUCAUAUCAAAUUAUAGUUUGACGUUUAAAAUUGUUUACAUCCUUUUUAAGAUAGUUUUACAUCAAAAAGAAGUCAAAUUGAACCGAACGAAGACUCAAAAUGCGUUUUUAGAUACCAAAACUAUUUAUAUCAAGUGAUUUAAACCCUGAGAAGUGAUUUUAUUACUCAAAAAUAAUGAGUGAAGUUUUGACACAAAACAACAUAACCUCACUUUUUAAUCUUGUCGAUUUAAAUUAUUUGUGGGGUGACUUAUUUAAGAAAAAACGGUGAGUCGAUUAAUUCUAUUAAUGUUAAAUCAUUAAUUCCACAAAUUAUAACUUUCAAAUAAAAUAUUUUUUUUAGGAAAAGUGCUCCA